Molecule: ribosomal RNA, 489 nt
Filed under: uncultured bacterium
Lineage: Bacteria
Description: bacterial SSU rRNA
Rfam family: Bacterial small subunit ribosomal RNA
Source: RNAcentral
CUACGUGCCAGCAGCCGCGGUAAUACGUAGGGCGCGAGCGUUGUCCGGAAUUAUUGGGCGUAAAGAGCUUGUAGGCGGUUGGUCGCGUCUGCUGUGAAAGGCUGGGGCUUAACCCUGGUUUUGCAGUGGGUACGGGCUAACUAGAGUGCAGUAGGGGAGACUGGAAUUCCUGGUGUAGCGGUGGAAUGCGCAGAUAUCAGGAGGAACACCGAUGGCGAAGGCAGGUCUCUGGGCUGUAACUGACGCUGAGAAGCGAAAGCAUGGGGAGCGAACAGGAUUAGAUACCCUGGUAGUCCAUGCCGUAAACGUUGGGCACUAGGUGUGGGGGACAUUCCACGUUUUCCGCACCGUAGCUAACGCAUUAAGUGCCCCGCCUGGGGAGUACGGCCGCAAGGCUAAAACUCAAAGAAAUUGACGGGGGCCCGCACAAGCGGCGGAGCAUGCGGAUUAAUUCGAUGCAACGCGAAGAACCUUACCAAGGCUUGACAU